AUAAUGCAGUCGAACGCUUUGUGGUUCAACUGAUUUGAAGAGCUUGCUCAGAUAUGACGAUGGACAUUGCAAAGAGUGGCGAACGGGUGAGUAACACGUGGGAAACCUACCUCUUAGCAGGGGAUAACAUUUGGAAACAGAUGCUAAUACCGUAUAACAAUGACAACCGCAUGGUUGUUAUUUAAAAGAUGGUUCUGCUAUCACUAAGAGAUGGUCCCGCGGUGCAUUAGCUAGUUGGUAAGGUAAUGGCUUACCAAGGCGAUGAUGCAUAGCCGAGUUGAGAGACUGAUCGGCCACAAUGGGACUGAGACACGGCCCAUACUCCUACGGGAGGCAGCAGUAGGGAAUCUUCCACAAUGGGCGAAAGCCUGAUGGAGCAACGCCGCGUGUGUGAUGAAGGGUUUCGGCUCGUAAAACACUGUUGUAAGAGAAGAAUGACAUUGAGAGUAACUGUUCAAUGUGUGACGGUAUCUUACCAGAAAGGAACGGCUAAAUACGUGCCAGCAGCCGCGGUAAUACGUAUGUUCCAAGCGUUAUCCGGAUUUAUUGGGCGUAAAGCGAGCGCAGACGG
RNAcentral lists this ribosomal RNA (571 nucleotides) under Weissella confusa. RNAcentral's name for it is "bacterial SSU rRNA". It matches the Rfam family "Bacterial small subunit ribosomal RNA", at positions 51 to 578 of the family's 1533-position model. The record is from RNAcentral. Lineage: Bacteria; Bacillati; Bacillota; Bacilli; Lactobacillales; Lactobacillaceae.